Molecule: ribosomal RNA, 496 nt
Filed under: uncultured bacterium
Lineage: Bacteria
Description: partial 16S ribosomal RNA
Rfam family: Bacterial small subunit ribosomal RNA
Source: RNAcentral
GAUGAACGCUGGCGGCGUGCCUAAUACAUGCAAGUCGAGCGAACAGAUGAGGAGCUUGCUCCUCUGACGUUAGCGGCGGACGGGUGAGUAACACGUGGAUAACCUACCUAUAAGACUGGGAUAACUUCGGGAAACCGGAGCUAAUACCGGAUAAUAUAUUGAACCGCAUGGUUCAAUAGUGAAAGACGGUUUUGCUGUCACUUAUAGAUGGAUCCGCGCCGCAUUAGCUAGUUGGUAAGGUAACGGCUUACCAAGGCAACGAUGCGUAGCCGACCUGAGAGGGUGAUCGGCCACACUGGAACUGAGACACGGUCCAGACUCCUACGGGAGGCAGCAGUAGGGAAUCUUCCGCAAUGGGCGAAAGCCUGACGGAGCAACGCCGCGUGAGUGAUGAAGGUCUUCGGAUCGUAAAACUCUGUUAUUAGGGAAGAACAAAUGUGUAAGUAACUAUGCACGUCUUGACGGUACCUAAUCAGAAAGCCUCGGCUAACUACGU